UACGUAGGGUGCGAGCGUUAAUCGGAAUUACUGGGCGUAAAGCGUGCGCAGGCGGUUUUGUAAGACAGAGGUGAAAUCCCCCGGGCUCAACCUGGGAACUGCCUUUGUGACUGCAAGGCUAGAGUACGGCAGAGGGGGAUGGAAUUCCGCGUGUAGCAGUGAAAUGCGUAGAUAUGCGGAGGAACACCGAUGGCGAAGGCAAUCCCCUGGGCCUGUACUGACGCUCAUGCACGAAAGCGUGGGGAGCAAACAGGAUUAGAUACCCCGGUAGU
Molecule: ribosomal RNA, 272 nt
Filed under: uncultured bacterium
Lineage: Bacteria
Description: partial 16S ribosomal RNA
Rfam family: Bacterial small subunit ribosomal RNA
Source: RNAcentral